RNAcentral lists this ribosomal RNA (442 nucleotides) under uncultured bacterium. Its description in RNAcentral is "partial 16S ribosomal RNA". It matches the Rfam family "Bacterial small subunit ribosomal RNA", at positions 338 to 795 of the family's 1533-position model. The record is from RNAcentral.
CCUACGGGGGGCAGCAGUAGGGAAUCUUUCACAAUGGGCGAAAGCCUGAUGGAGCAACGCCGCGUGCAGGAUGAAGGCCUUCGGGUUGUAAACUGCUUUUAUAAGCGAGAAAUAUGAUGGUAACUUAUGAAUAAGGAUCGGCUAACUACGUGCCAGCAGCCGCGGUCAUACGUAGGAUCCGAGCAUUAUCCGGAGUGACUGGGUGUAAAGAGUUGCGUAGGUGGCAUAAUAAGUAGCUAGUGAAAUCUGGUGGCUCAACCAUUCAGACUAUUAGCUAAACUGUUAAGCUCGAGACCGUUAGGGGUAACUGGAAUUUCUAGUGUAGGAGUGAAAUCCGUAGAUAUUAGAAGGAAAACCAAUAGCGUAGGCAGGUUGCUGGGACGGUUCCGACACUAAGGCACGAAAGCGUAGGGAGCAAACGGGAUUAGAUACCCGGGUAGUC